This 273-nucleotide ribosomal RNA is filed under the name uncultured bacterium. Its description in RNAcentral is "partial 16S ribosomal RNA". It matches the Rfam family "Bacterial small subunit ribosomal RNA", at positions 524 to 796 of the family's 1533-position model. The record is from RNAcentral.
UACGGAAGGGGCUAGCGUUGUUCGGAAUCACUGGGCGUAAAGCGCGCGUAGGCGGCCUUGCAAGUGCGGCGUGAAAGUCCUGGGCUCAACCUGGGGACGGCGCUGCGGACUGCUUGGCUGGAGUCCGGAAGAGGGUGGUGGAAUUCCGAGUGUAGAGGUGAAAUUCGUAGAUAUUCGGAGGAACACCGGUGGCGAAGGCGGCCACCUGGUCCGGUACUGACGCUGAAGCGCGAAAGCGUGGGGAGCAAACAGGAUUAGAAACCCCCGUAGUCC